GAAAGGAGACAGAGACAACAGGGGACAGAGGUGGUACAACAGGUCUUGAUCGAGUGGUAGGAAGGUGGCAGAGAGGGCGCAACCUGGGAAGAUGUGGCUACUAUUCAAGAUCAGUAUCCUAAGUUCAACCCUUUGGGACAAGGUUGUUGAAGGAAAGAGGGGUAAUGUUAGAGGAUUACUUGUAUAGAACAAGGAAAAACGUUACAUAGCCUAACUGCCAAGGUAGUUAAGAAAGGCAGGAAGGGGGUUUGUAUAUAGGGGAAUGGGUGUAAUUGUAAGAGUCAGUUUUUGAGAUAAUAUUAGCUUGACAGGAAAUUGUUUGUCCUGUAGGGGGAGGUUAAGCUCUCUGGGACUAUUGUACUUUGUAUUCUUGAUUGAUUGGUAAUACAAAGGGAGUUAUACGGCGUAUUCGGUUGUGUUGUUUGAGUGUGUGAGGUGUGUUUUCCAUAGGUUCUUGAUUAGGAACCUAUCAAUAUACCUCAUGAAUUCACUUAAGUUUAGUUUAUUAGCUACUACGAGAUAGUUUGAAAUUUGAAACAUGUGGAUCAUAGUCCUCAAGAAUUUGGUUGUGAUUUAGCUUGCAUUGUUAUACUUUGCUAUUUUAGUGUUUUUCUAAUAAAAAUCACAUGUUAGGCAUCAAUAUGACUUAUUUCUUUUAGUUUGCUUUAGCAUAAAGUUUUAAUGUUGAAUUUUUAUAUAGUUUACAUGUUGUUUGGAUAUUGGGUGUUUUAAUUAUUAUUUUUUCAGUAUUGUGAUGUAGAAGUGUGCAGAAGCUCUAUUGGAGACUGAUAUGAUCAUAGAUGGGGCAACAAUGAAGAGCUUUUAGAGUGACAAAAAGGAGUAGAACAGGUUUCAUAGGCGUGUAUUUGCCUCUUUGAUUUCUUUCCUUUAGUUCUAGUGAAUAAACGUUUAUAAACUCUUCUUUCUCUUUAAGAACAAGCAAUGUGAGACUCU
Molecule: long non-coding RNA, 954 nt
Filed under: Vigna radiata
Lineage: Eukaryota; Viridiplantae; Streptophyta; Magnoliopsida; Fabales; Fabaceae
Description: long non-coding RNA (VRAD_LNC004765)
Source: RNAcentral